RNAcentral lists this ribosomal RNA (427 nucleotides) under Plaxopsis sp. RNAcentral's name for it is "eukaryotic LSU rRNA". Lineage: Eukaryota; Metazoa; Arthropoda; Insecta; Hymenoptera; Braconidae. The record is from RNAcentral.
CCUGAGAAACCCAAAAGAUCGAAUGGGGAGAUUCAUCGUCAGCUCAUUUUAUAUAUAUGCUAGCUAUGAUAUGGGUUACUACUUGUAGUAUUGCCUGUACAUUCUUGUAUAUUUAAUUGUAAGAUGUUGUCGGCGUGCACUUCUCCCCUAGUAGGACGUCGCGACCCGUUGAGUGUUGGUCUACGGCCCAAGUGGGAGCUUUUAAUGAAUUUUAUUCAUUGAAAACCCUUGGUGUAUCCUGACUGGCACUCGUCGGUAUUCGUAUGGUAUUGAGCCGCAUAUUUAUAUGCGUCCAUAUCUGUCGCAAGCGAGGUUAGCUACUGAUAGUGCGGACCUAGUGCCGUCGUUGGUACUAAUCAGCUGUUGGUUGUACAGAAUUCUAGGACUGGCUCGUUGAAAUACCGGUCAGCGAUGCUACUGCUUUGGG